UACGAAUCAACAACUUGGGGAUUUCCAUCAGAUAUGAAAACUUCUCGUGCUUCUGUGGUCAUUGCGACGAUCAAUCCAGCUAAGCCAUAGCCAGAUCCAAGCUCAAUGACUCUUUUUCCCCUGAAAAUGUUUGCACGUGACAAGCAGUAGUGGGCAAGGACAUCCUCUGACGGCCAUUGACAAACAAGUCCAGUGUUGUCAAUGUCAUAUCUAUUGCAGACCUCAAAGUCAUUAAGAUGUGCCAUAUCAUCCGCUCUCUGAUGAAGAAUAAGUGGGGAAGCAUUAGUAACUGGCAAUGUAUAGCAUAAGGUAGCAUUCCG
This 320-nucleotide unclassified non-coding RNA is filed under the name Hevea brasiliensis (rubber tree). The record is from RNAcentral. Lineage: Eukaryota; Viridiplantae; Streptophyta; Magnoliopsida; Malpighiales; Euphorbiaceae.